RNAcentral lists this ribosomal RNA (1451 nucleotides) under Vibrio cholerae. RNAcentral describes it as "bacterial LSU rRNA". It matches the Rfam family "Bacterial large subunit ribosomal RNA", at positions 1 to 1506 of the family's 2925-position model. Lineage: Bacteria; Pseudomonadati; Pseudomonadota; Gammaproteobacteria; Vibrionales; Vibrionaceae. The record is from RNAcentral.
GUUGUAUGGUUAAGUGACUAAGCGUACACGGUGGAUGCCUGGGCAGUCAGAGGCGAUGAAGGACGUACUAACUUGCGAUAAGCGCAGAUAAGGCAGUAAGAGCCGUUUGAGUCUGCGAUUUCCGAAUGGGGAAACCCAACUGCAUAAGCAGUUACUGUUAACUGAAUACAUAGGUUAACAGAGCAAACCGGGGGAACUGAAACAUCUAAGUACCCCGAGGAGAAGAAAUCAACCGAGAUUCCGGUAGUAGCGGCGAGCGAACCUGGAUUAGCCCUUAAGCACUCGGUGAAGUAGGUGAACAAGCUGGAAAGCUUGGCGAUACAGGGUGAUAGCCCCGUAACCGACGCUUCAUCGAGCGUGAAAUCGAGUAGGGCGGGACACGUGAUAUCCUGUCUGAAUAUGGGGGGACCAUCCUCCAAGGCUAAAUACUCCUGACUGACCGAUAGUGAACCAGUACCGUGAGGGAAAGGCGAAAAGAACCCCUGUGAGGGGAGUGAAAUAGAACCUGAAACCGUGUACGUACAAGCAGUAGGAGCACCUUCGUGGUGUGACUGCGUACCUUUUGUAUAAUGGGUCAGCGACUUAUAUUCAGUGGCAAGGUUAACCGUAUAGGGGAGCCGUAGCGAAAGCGAGUCUUAACUGGGCGCUCAGUCUCUGGAUAUAGACCCGAAACCGGGUGAUCUAGCCAUGGGCAGGUUGAAGGUUGAGUAACAUCAACUGGAGGACCGAACCGACUAAUGUUGAAAAAUUAGCGGAUGACUUGUGGCUAGGGGUGAAAGGCCAAUCAAACUCGGAGAUAGCUGGUUCUCCCCGAAAGCUAUUUAGGUAGCGCCUCGGACGAAUACUACUGGGGGUAGAGCACUGUUAAGGCUAGGGGGUCAUCCCGACUUACCAACCCUUUGCAAACUCCGAAUACCAGUAAGUACUAUCCGGGAGACACACGGCGGGUGCUAACGUCCGUCGUGGAGAGGGAAACAACCCAGACCGCCAGCUAAGGUCCCAAAGUAUUGCUAAGUGGGAAACGAUGUGGGAAGGCUCAGACAGCUAGGAUGUUGGCUUAGAAGCAGCCAUCAUUUAAAGAAAGCGUAAUAGCUCACUAGUCGAGUCGGCCUGCGCGGAAGAUGUAACGGGGCUAAGCAAUACACCGAAGCUGCGGCAAUGUCUUUUAGACAUUGGGUAGGGGAGCGUUCUGUAAGCCGUUGAAGGUGAAUCGUAAGGUUUGCUGGAGGUAUCAGAAGUGCGAAUGCUGACAUGAGUAACGACAAAGGGGGUGAAAAACCUCCUCGCCGGAAGACCAAGGGUUCCUGUCCAACGUUAAUCGGGGCAGGGUGAGUCGACCCCUAAGGUGAGGCCGAAAGGCGUAAUCGAUGGGAAACGGGUUAAUAUUCCCGUACUUCUGACUAUUGCGAUGGGGGGACGGAGAAGGCUAGGUGGGCCAGGCGACGGUUGUC